Molecule: non-coding RNA, 31 nt
Organism: Flavobacteriia bacterium 40-80
Lineage: Bacteria; Pseudomonadati; Bacteroidota; Flavobacteriia
Source: Rfam
GCAUUAUCCGUAACAGUGCUUCCGAUAAUGA